GCACCCGUAGCUCAGCUGGAUAGAGCGCCUGACUACGAAUCAGGAGGCCGGGAGUUCGAAUCUCUCCGGGUGUACCA
Molecule: transfer RNA, 77 nt
Filed under: Oceaniferula marina
Lineage: Bacteria; Pseudomonadati; Verrucomicrobiota; Verrucomicrobiia; Verrucomicrobiales; Verrucomicrobiaceae
Description: tRNA-Arg
Rfam family: tRNA
About the family: Transfer RNA (tRNA) molecules are approximately 80 nucleotides in length. Their secondary structure includes four short double-helical elements and three loops (D, anti-codon, and T loops).
Source: RNAcentral